UUGUAGCUCAGUGGUAGAGUAUGUGCUUAGCAUGCACGAGGCCCUGGGUUUGAUUCUGAGCAA
RNAcentral lists this transfer RNA (63 nucleotides) under Heterocephalus glaber (naked mole-rat). It matches the Rfam family "tRNA", at positions 5 to 66 of the family's 71-position model. Rfam says of the family: Transfer RNA (tRNA) molecules are approximately 80 nucleotides in length. Lineage: Eukaryota; Metazoa; Chordata; Mammalia; Rodentia; Bathyergidae. The record is from Rfam by way of RNAcentral.